RNAcentral lists this long non-coding RNA (522 nucleotides) under Equus asinus (donkey). RNAcentral's name for it is "lncRNA (ENSEASG00005031642.1)". The record is from RNAcentral. Lineage: Eukaryota; Metazoa; Chordata; Mammalia; Perissodactyla; Equidae.
CUGUGCGUCUUCUUCGGCCGAAUGCAGGCUGAACUCCUUUCUAGAGAGAAAUUUCUCAUCAUUUGGUUACUCUGAGAUAGAGAUCAUAUAAGAAAAACAGAAAAAUUCUUGAUCUUUUUCCCCUUAUUUACUAGUUUAAAUAACAAUUUGGCUCCAUAUCAUCCUCCCAAGAAAAUCCUAGCUCUGUCUUCCUCCUCCUUGUCAUGAGCCUCACUUCCUCACCUGAAGUUAGAUCGGGGCCAGGGGUCGUCUUUACUCUGAUCAUCUUUUUCUGCUCCUGCUUCCUCAGCCAUGGCCUCUAAAGCUGCCAGGUUUUUUUGUGUGUGUCCAGCAAGUAGGUCCGGUGAUGGGGGAUUAGAAGGAUAUGGGCUGUUCAGCCUGGAGAGAGCACCGUUAGGAGGUAAGUGGAUUACUGACCUCAAGGCUAUAGAGAGAGAUUUUAUAAGAAGGUGGUGGACUGAUUGUUCAUUGUCUGUGAAAGAAGUAGUAAGAUAAACAGGCUCAGAUGAAGAAAGGGUUUGG